CCACCCGAGACUCAGUGAAAUUGAACUCGCUGUGAAGAUGCAGUGUACCCGCGGCAAGACGGAAAGACCCCGUGAACCUUUACUAUAGCUUGACACUGAACAUUGAGCCUUGAUGUGUAGGAUAGGUGGGAGGCUUUGAAGUGUGGACGCCAGUCUGCAUGGAGCCGGCCUUGAAAUACCACCCUUUAAUGUUUGAUGUUCUAACGUGGACCCGUGAUCCGGGUUGCGGACAGUGUCUGGUGGGUAGUUUGACUGGGGCGGUCUCCUCCUAAAGAGUAACGGAGGAGCACGAAGGUUGGCUAAUCCUGGUCGGACAUCAGGAGGUUAGUGCAAUGGCAUAAGCCAGCUUGACUGCGAGCGUGACGGCGCGAGCAGGUGCGAAAGCAGGUCAUAGUGAUCCGGUGGUUCUGAAUGGAAGGGCCAUCGCUCAACGGAUAAAAGGUACUCCGGGGAUAACAGGCUGAUACCGCCCAAGAGUUCAUAUCGACGGCGGUGUUUGGCACCUCGAUGUCGGCUCAUCACAUCCUGGGGCUGAAGUAGGUCCCAAGGGUAUGGCUGUUCGCCAUUUAAAGUGGUACGCGAGCUGGGUUUAGAACGUCGUGAGACAGUUCGGUCCCUAUCUGCCGUGGGCGCUGGAGAACUGAGGGGGGCUGCUCCUAGUACGAGAGGACCGGAGUGGACGCAUCACUGGUGUUCGGGUUGUCAUGCCAAUGGCACUGCCCGGUAGCUAAAUGCGGAAGAGAUAAGUGCUGAAAGCAUCUAAGCACGAAACUUGCCCCGAGAUGAGUUCUCCCUGACCCUUUAAGGGUCCUGAAGGAACGUUGAAGACGACGACGUUGAUAGGCCGGGUGUGUAAGCGCAGCGAUGCGUUGAGCUAACCGGUACUAAUGAACCGUGAGGCUUAACCUUACAACGCCGAAG
RNAcentral lists this ribosomal RNA (921 nucleotides) under Shigella sonnei. RNAcentral's name for it is "partial 23S ribosomal RNA". It matches the Rfam family "Bacterial large subunit ribosomal RNA", at positions 2022 to 2925 of the family's 2925-position model. The record is from RNAcentral. Lineage: Bacteria; Pseudomonadati; Pseudomonadota; Gammaproteobacteria; Enterobacterales; Enterobacteriaceae.